UGAGGAAUAUUGGUCAAUGGACGCAAGUCUGAACCAGCCAAGUAGCGUGCAGGAUGACGGCCCUAUGGGUUGUAAACUGCUUUUAUAUGGGGAUAAAGUGGGGAACGUGUUCCCUUUUGCAGGUACCAUAUGAAUAAGGACCGGCUAAUUCCGUGCCAGCAGCCGCGGUAAUACGGCAGGUUCGGGCGUUAUCCGGAUUUAUUGGGUUUAAAGGGAGCGUAGGCCGUUUGGUAAGCGUGUUGUGAAAUGUAGGAGCUCAACUUCUAGAUUGCAGCGCGAACUGUCAGACUUGAGUGCGCACAACGUAGGCGGAAUUCAUGGUGUAGCGGUGAAAUGCUUAGAUAUCAUGAAGAACUCCGAUUGCGAAGGCAGCUUACGGGAGCGCAACUGACGCUGAAGCUCGAAGGUGCGGGUAUCGAACAGG
RNAcentral lists this ribosomal RNA (424 nucleotides) under Verrucomicrobiota bacterium. RNAcentral's name for it is "Verrucomicrobia bacterium partial 16S ribosomal RNA". It matches the Rfam family "Bacterial small subunit ribosomal RNA", at positions 355 to 776 of the family's 1533-position model. Lineage: Bacteria; Pseudomonadati; Verrucomicrobiota. The record is from RNAcentral.